AGAGAUGAUGAAUAUGCACUGGGCUCUGAGCAGUUGAUAUCAGCUGUUUUUGAUGGACAAUGCAGCCUAGAAAGCUAUAUCUGAUCU
Molecule: small nucleolar RNA, 87 nt
Organism: Quercus robur (English oak)
Lineage: Eukaryota; Viridiplantae; Streptophyta; Magnoliopsida; Fagales; Fagaceae
Source: RefSeq, a predicted model, not a curated record